Molecule: ribosomal RNA, 474 nt
Filed under: Carvalhoa sp. SLW-2002
Lineage: Eukaryota; Metazoa; Arthropoda; Insecta; Diptera; Acroceridae
Description: partial 28S ribosomal RNA
Rfam family: Eukaryotic large subunit ribosomal RNA
Source: RNAcentral
UGAAGAUCUUCGAAUGUCGGCUCUUCAGGGAUAAGGAUUGGCUCUGAAGAUUGAGAUAGUCGGGCUUGAUUGGGAAGCAAUAAUAUGGUUUAUGUACUCGUUCUGGGUAAAUUAGAAUGAAGACAAUGUGUUAAAAACAUUGGAUUAAUUCGUUCCCCGGAUAGUAGCUUACGUAACCAAUUGCGGAACUUUCUUGCUAAUAAUAUAUUAGAAAUUUUUUAUUAAAAAAAAAAUUUUUAUAUAUUUCUAACGGCUAUCAAUUAACAAUCAAUUCAGAACUGGCACGGACUUGGGGAAUCCGACUGUCUAAUUAAAACAAAGCAUUGUGAUGGCCCUAACGGGUGUUGACACAAUGUGAUUUCUGCCCAGUGCUCUGAAUGUCAAAGUGAAGAACUUCAAGUAAGCGCGGGUAAACGGCGGGAGUAACUAUGACUCUCUUAAGGUAGCCAAAUGCCUCGUCAUAUAAUUAGUGAC